This 1584-nucleotide ribosomal RNA is filed under the name Triticum aestivum (bread wheat). RNAcentral's name for it is "partial small subunit ribosomal RNA". The record is from RNAcentral. Lineage: Eukaryota; Viridiplantae; Streptophyta; Magnoliopsida; Poales; Poaceae.
AUGGCUCUUGAAGCAGCGUUCCACUACCUGCAGCUCGCCGGCAUCCAUGGCACAUCCACGCCGGCAGUACUACUCACCAUUCUCCUGCUACUCAUCAUUCGACUAGCAUGGGUGAGGACCACAACUGCGUCAACAAGAUUCGGUAAGCAGCAACAGCUCCCGCCUUCACCCCCAGGCAAGCUGCCCAUCAUCGGCCACCUCCACCUCCUCGGCUCCCAGACACACAUAUCCAUCCGGGACCUCGAUGCCAAGCAUGGCCGCAAUGGCCUCUUGCUCCUCCGCAUCGGUGCCGUACCCACCUUAUUCGUGUCCUCGCCGAGUGCCGCCGAGGCUGUCCUGCGUACCCACGACCAAAUCUUUGCGUCGCGGCCACCAUCCAUGGCCGCUGACAUCAUUCGCUACGGCCCCACAGACAUCGCAUUUGCACCCUAUGGUGAGUACUGGCGGCAGGCCAGGAAGCUCUUAACCACACAUAUGCUCAGCGCCAAGGUGGUGCACUCCUUCCGCCAUGGUCGUCAAGAAGAGGUGCGCCUCGUUAUCAACAAGAUCCAUGAGGCGGCCACCAGAGGCACGGCGGUGGACAUGAGCGAGCUCCUGUCCGGCUACACCAACGACGUCGUAUGCCGUGCAGUCCUCGGAGAAUCCCACCGCAAGGAAGGCCGGAACAGGCUUUUCAGCGAGCUCACAGAGAUCAACGUCUCCCUUCUUGGCGGGUUCAGCCUCGAGAAUUACAUCCCCCCAAACAUGGUAAUGGCGGAUGUGCUCUUGAGGCUGGUUUCCGUCAAGGCUCGGCGGCUCAACAAGAGGUGGGACGAAUUGUUCAACGAGAUCAUUGAAGAACACCUACACCCCAGCAAACCAUCAUCUGGCGAGCAGCAAGCGGUAGAUUUCAUAGAUCUUCUGCUCUCUCUCAAGGAAGAGUACGGUCUCACUACAGAUAACAUCAAGGCCAUCUUGGUGGACAUGUUUGAGGCAGGCAUAGAAACAUCUUAUCUGACGUUGGAGUACGGCAUGGCUGAGCUCAUGAACAACAGACACAUUCUGAAAAAAUUACAGGAGGAGGUAAGAUCCCAAGGCAAAAAGUUAGACAUGAUAACGGAGGAGGACCUUGGCAGCAUGGCCUACCUAAGGGCAACCAUCAAGGAGACGCUGCGCUUGCACCCACCAGCGCCCUUCCUCCUCCCACACUUCUCCACCGCUGACUGCAAGAUCGACGGAUACUUGAUACCCUCCAACACACGCGUCCUUGUGAAUGCUUGGGCCCUUGGGAGGGAUCCAUCGUCUUGGGAGAGGCCAGAGGAUUUCUUGCCUGAGAGGUUUCUACAAGAUCAAGAUGGUGAUGUUGACACCCAAAUGAGGGGUAAGGAUCUUAGGUUCCUGCCAUUUGGGUUCGGGCGGAGGAUUUGUCCAGGGAUGAAUUUCGGGUUCGCCACCAUGGAGGUUAUGUUAGCAAAUCUCAUGUACCAUUUUGAUUGGGAUGUUCCGAAUAUGGUGGGUACCGGCGCAGGGGUUGAUAUGGCCGAGUCGUUCGGGUUAACGCUUCGCCGAAAGGAGAAGCUUCAACUUGUUCCUCGGAUUCCCUAA